Molecule: long non-coding RNA, 314 nt
Filed under: Manihot esculenta (cassava)
Lineage: Eukaryota; Viridiplantae; Streptophyta; Magnoliopsida; Malpighiales; Euphorbiaceae
Description: long non-coding RNA (MESC_LNC009718)
Source: RNAcentral
ACGUUGUAAAUUUAGCGGGACCGAGUAUAACGGUCAAUUGUCUGCUUGUGGAUUCCGUCCCACAUCGGCAAAUUACGACAAUUUCGAAUUGUAUAUAAUAGCUAGUACGAAACUACUAAAUAACUUGGGUUAACCAUUUUGGACCAAGUGAAAAGUGGGUCUAAAAGUUAUUUAGGCCAGUUUGGACCGGCCAGACUGUUUCACAUAACCUUGGAUCGGUUUAUAUCAUGCUCAGUCAGAAGGUAUCUCCCAUUUUUUAAAGCCUUCAAAGACAAAGAUAAGUUUGUAUGAGUGUAACGACCCAGAAACCGGAC